Molecule: non-coding RNA, 2860 nt
Organism: Rattus norvegicus (Norway rat)
Lineage: Eukaryota; Metazoa; Chordata; Mammalia; Rodentia; Muridae
Source: RefSeq, a predicted model, not a curated record
AUAUAUAGUAGAGGGCUCUGAAAGACAUGUUGCUUUCCCAUGUCUCCCCUGCAUUUUCUGUUAUAAAGCAGCAGGAAUGCAUUCCUGAGAGAAAGCUACAUGAUCUUCCUCACCUUCAAAACUGUGAGCACAAUAAAUGGCUGGCACUUUCUUCAGAUUUAUGUGUCUACUCCUCAGAGUUGGGCAAUAGCAAAGUAACUAAGAAAGAGUCAAGUGGUUUGGUCUUGACGGGCAAGCCAAAGAAGAAUCAGGACAAUUCUCGGCAAGACGGUUCUCUUCCUUAAACUCCCAGUUACAUCUCCUCUCCUCUUUGCUUCUAUGAAGAUGCUCCUCCAUCCACCCAAAUACUCCUGCCUCACUGCUCUAGCAUCCCUCUAUGCUCAAGCCUCCACAGGACCAAGGACCUCUCAUCUCAAUGAUGCCAGAUAAGACUAUCCUCUGCUAUAGAUGUAGUUGGAGCCAUGGAUCCCUCCAUGUAUACUGUUUGGUUGGCGGUUUGAUCCCUAAGAGCUCUGUAUAGUCCAUUUUUAAAUCUAACAUGUUUAAUUGAUACUUUAAUGAGUGGUUUUCUCAAAGCUAUGCAAUAGAAUUGAAAUGAUAUAACAUGGAUAAUGAAAUCAGUAAAGGAAAUGAAAAUAUUAUCGUUGAAUUUUCAAGAUGUAUAUGAAAGGCUACAUUUUUUUAUAAUAUCUAUGGGCUUCUAUUUAUCCAUUUUAAGUCACACUAUACACAGUCAGCUGAAAUUUCAGAGUAUCUGGAAGCAACUCUAUAAUACAUCAAUGAUGUCUAAGUUAACAUUUCAUUGCUCCAGUUUUUCCCUCUAUAUCUGACAUGUUGAGAGCCACUGAACAAAGUUAAAUUGACAGGUAUUUACUGAAUGCCUGGCAGCUGCAGCUAAUGAACCUUAGAUAGUUUGCAUUUCCAGUUUCUGUUGGCAGCUGGGAUCUGCUGAUAACUGCUAGUUUUUAUGAAGAAGAUGGAAUGAGGGGACACAUGGCACAGAAAAGUGUACAUUUAAUGAAGAGCAUUUUUAGAGCAGAUGAGGAAAAAUAUUCAGAGUUUCGUAGGUUCUAGGAUAUUAUCAUCAAAUGAGGCAGAAAGAAGAAAAACCACUAGACUUUUGUGUACUUCCUAUAUCAGAAUAAUCAAAGAAGAAGAGGCUAUCAAUCUGAAAGUGGGGGGUUAUGGGAGGGAAGGAUUUGAAAGAUGGUGGGGUAGGGGGACUGAAGAGAGGAAAGGGAGAAGAAAAUAUUAGAAUUCUAGUUUCAUUAAAACGUAUUUUAUGGGUAUGUAGCUUUUGGUAUUCCUAGAAAAGACAAUCGCACAUAAAAUCGCCAAUUUUCUGGCUCUUACAAUCCUGUCCACUCCUUUUUCUGCUGUGAUCCCUGAGUACUGGGUUUAGGGAUUGUUGUAAAUGUUGGGCUCUACAACUCUGCAUUUUGAUUCAUCGUGAUCCUCUGUAAAUAUUACAUACAUAUUACAUGUAUGUAGUAAUUCAUUUAAAAAGAGGCCAUGAGUUAAAAGAAGAGUGGGGGAGGGGUAGUUUUAUAAUUGUAAUCUCAAAUUUCAUUUAAAAACAUAGAUUUAAAAUGAAAAGAAAAAUAACACUAAUCCCAAACCUUCCUUUCCAGAAUACCUUCAGCUCCAUAAGAUACAGAUGGAGGUUCAAAGGUUUGGGAGUUGAAAACACUACAGUAAGAGAAUUUGAAAAACCAUGGGGACACUGUCGGUGGUUCUGAGAGCCAUGCCAGGCACAACAUUUAAUACUGAUGCGUUCAGAGACAGGGAGGAGUGAACUGAGUCUUGGGGAUCUCGCGUGAUCUCACAGCCUGCAUAGAGCUGAGGGAGAAGCCCGGCAGUUAGUGAAUGAGCAGGACAAGAGGAAAAACCUCUCCAGGCCAGGCCUGUGCCAAAGGACAUCACAGUGUUCAGCCCAUGCUGGAGUGUUCCCUGCAGUUGUCUUAACCAAGUGGGAACUCUGUGCCCAUCGACAAUGAGGCCGAUGGCAUUGUGUUAAGACUAAGAAGAGGAAAAUAAAUAAAUCCUACAUGAAUAAUUAUAGCCUUUUCUUGUCUUCAAUAGCCUUUUAUUUAUGGUGAUUGUGUGUGUGCACCCACGUGUGUGUAUGUUUGUGUGUGUGUGUGUGUGUGUGUGUGUAAAAAUUCUAUAAUUGCAAUGGAGUGAAAGUACAGUAGUGUAACAUGAAAAUAAUGAAUGGUUCCUAGUGAGCUUCCAAAAGAAAAGCAGGAGGCACAUUCAUAGGUCAGAGUAUUCCAGACAAGAAGCCAAUGAGAUGCUCAAUGGAUAAGGCAUUUGUCAAUAACUCUUACAACUUGAACUUGUACCCCAGUUACCACCUACUAAAAAGAAUGAAUUCAGUCCCAAAAACAAUCUUCUGACCUACAUACAUUAUACCUUGGCACACAAAUAUUCAUACGUAUACAUAUACACAAAAUGUUAAUAUUUGAGUUACUGAAAAAAAUGUUCCAUAUAGUAAAAGGAAACAUAUCAAAGGAAUAGGCAUUGUUGUACAGAUGCAAUAAGGACUAAGGAUCUUGUGGCUUUCUAUUAUCCUCCAAGUGUUCUCUUCUGCAAGUUGUGUCCUGGGUGAAGCACUCUUUGGAGCUGAUGCGACCUCUACAAAAUAGAGUCCAGUGAUGGGUGCCUAGUCAAUGAGAGUGCAGAUAGUUUUUCUGAGACUGGUAAAUUCCUGCUAAAAAAAUAAAAACAAGAUGGUCCCUUGCUGAGUACACUAGUUCCCCCACAGUGCUGGCAUCCAUCUUAACUCAAUGUAUUGUACUAGUUGGAGCUUAAACAAGGCCGAACAUCAUGGGGUCUGUGGCACAUGGGUGUUUGUUCC